Molecule: ribosomal RNA, 253 nt
Filed under: uncultured bacterium
Lineage: Bacteria
Description: partial 16S ribosomal RNA
Rfam family: Bacterial small subunit ribosomal RNA
Source: RNAcentral
UACGUAGGGCGCAAGCGUUGUCCGGAAUUAUUGGGCGUAAAGAGCUCGUAGGCGGUUUGUCGCGUCUGUCGUGAAAGCUUGGGGCUUAACCCCAAGUCUGCGGUGGAUACGGGCAGACUAGAGGCAGGUAGGGGAGAACGGAAUUCCCGGUGUAGCGGUGAAAUGCGUAGAUAUCAGGAGGAACACCGAUGGCGAAGGCAGGUCUCUGGGCUGACACUGACGCUCAUGCACGAAAGCGUGGGGAGCAAACAGG